UCUGGAUGCAUCAGCGCCUCGUUCAGCACUUUCACCCCGGAAUCUCCCAGAUUAUUGUCAUUCAGUCUGUGGUCUUCAGAGCUUCGGACAGCAGCUUCACUCCCGAAUCUCCCAGAUGAUUGUCGCCCAGCGAGAGUGCAGUCAACGAGGGGUUAAUGCCGAGAGCCGAGGCCAGAUGCUCGGCUGCAGAGGCGGUGAGGCUGUUGUCAUUCAGACUGGGGAACGGAGAAAGGAAAGAGGAAUAGAAAUCGGCACGGUAACUGGCCCAUCC
This is a long non-coding RNA of Hypanus sabinus (Atlantic stingray), 271 nucleotides long. RefSeq lists it as uncharacterized. The record is from RefSeq and is a predicted model, not a curated record. The transcript has 3 exons. NCBI's taxonomy places the organism in Eukaryota, Metazoa, Chordata, Chondrichthyes, Myliobatiformes, Dasyatidae.